Molecule: ribosomal RNA, 253 nt
Filed under: uncultured bacterium
Lineage: Bacteria
Description: partial 16S ribosomal RNA
Rfam family: Bacterial small subunit ribosomal RNA
Source: RNAcentral
UACAGAGGGGGCAAGCGUUGUUCGGAAUUACUGGGCGUAAAGGGCGCGUAGGCGGCCUUCUAAGUCGAACGUGAAAUCCCCGGGCUCAACCCGGGAACUGCGUCCGAUACUGGAAGGCUAGAAUCCGGGAGAGGGAUGCGGAAUUCCAGGUGUAGCGGUGAAAUGCGUAGAUAUCUGGAGGAACACCGGUGGCGAAGGCGGCAUCCUGGACCGGUAUUGACGCUGAGGCGCGAAAGCGUGGGUAGCAAACAGG